This 463-nucleotide ribosomal RNA is filed under the name uncultured bacterium. Its description in RNAcentral is "bacterial SSU rRNA". It matches the Rfam family "Bacterial small subunit ribosomal RNA", at positions 29 to 530 of the family's 1533-position model. The record is from RNAcentral.
AACGAACGCUGGCGGCAGGCUUAACACAUGCAAGUCGAACGGGCGUAGCAAUACGUCAGUGGCAGACGGGUGAGUAACACGUGGGAACCUUCCUAGGGGUACGGAACAACUCAGGGAAACUUGAGCUAAUACCGUAUACGUCCGUGAGGAGAAAGAUUUAUCGCCCUUAGACGGGCCCGCGUCGGAUUAGCUAGUUGGUGGGGUAACGGCCUACCAAGGCGACGAUCCGUAGCUGAUCUUAGAGGAUGAUCAGCCACACUGGGACUGAGACACGGCCCAGACUCCUACGGGAGGCAGCAGUGGGGAAUCUUGGACAAUGGGCGCAAGCCUGAUCCAGCCAUGCCGCGUGAGUGAAGAAGGUCUUCGGAUUGUAAAGCUCUUUUGUCCAGGGACGAUAAUGACGGUACCUGGAGAAUAAGCCCCGGCAAACUUCGUGCCAGCAGCCGCGGUAAGAGUACUCUAU